This 253-nucleotide ribosomal RNA is filed under the name uncultured bacterium. RNAcentral describes it as "partial 16S ribosomal RNA". It matches the Rfam family "Bacterial small subunit ribosomal RNA", at positions 524 to 776 of the family's 1533-position model. The record is from RNAcentral.
UACGGGGGGGGCAAGCGUUGUUCGGAAUUACUGGGCGUAAAGGGCGCGUAGGCGGUUGGAUAAGUCAGCUGUGAAAACCACGGGCUUAACUCGUGGCCUGCAGUUGAGACUGUCUAGCUUGAGUGUGGGAGAGGAGAGUGGAAUUCCUGGUGUAGCGGUGAAAUGCGUAGAUAUCAGGAGGAACACCGGUGGCGAAGGCGGCUCUCUGGACCACAACUGACGCUGAGGCGCGAAAGCCAGGGGAGCAAACGGG